This is a long non-coding RNA of Apteryx haastii (Great spotted kiwi), 1740 nucleotides long. Lineage: Eukaryota; Metazoa; Chordata; Aves; Apterygiformes; Apterygidae. The record is from Ensembl.
GGGACCCUGGGAUGCCAGGYGGGGAAUGGGGGAUCCCGGGAUGUCCGGGAGCCACCUGGGGGGACCCCCGGGUGCCUGGGAGGUGGCAGGGGCACGGGGGAUCCUUGGGUGGAGGGCACCCAGCAGGGAGGACCCGGGGUGCCCAGGACCUGCCAAGGGAAUAAGGAGACCUCAGGGUGCCUGGGAGCUGACUGGGAAAUGGGGGAUCCCGGGAGCCACCUGGGGGGACCCCCGUGUGCCUGGGAGGUGGCAGGGGCACAUGGGACCCCCAGGGUGGUGGGGACCCGUCUGGGAGGUCCCCAGGGUGCCCAGGAGCCACCUGGGGGGACCCCCAGGUGCCUGGGAGGUGGCAAGGGAAUAGGGAGACCCCAGGGAUCCCAGGAGCUGCCUGUGGGGAAUGGGGGAUGCCGGGAUGUCCRGGAGCCACCUGGGGGGACACCCAGGCGCCUGGGAGGUGGCAGGGGCACAGGGGACCCCCGGGGCGGUGGGGACCCGUCCGGGCGGUCCCCGGGGCGCCCUCACCUCGUAGAAGCGGCAGGCGGGCAGGGUGCCGUCGCGCUCGUGCUGGGCUCGCACGUAGGAGGCCGUCAGGCUCAGGCACUUGCUGUCCACCUCCUUCCCGAAGCGCAGCGAGGACACCUGGCGCGCCCCGCGCUGUCACCGGGCCACCGCCACCCGCUGCCACCCCCCUCCCCGCUGCCACCCCCGUCCUCACGGCCACCGGGGCCACCGGGCACUGCCACCCCCAUUCCCCCUGCUACCGGCGCCACCGGGCACUGCCACCCCCGUCCUCACUGGCACCGGGGCCACUGGGCACUGCCACCUCUGUCCCCGCCGGCACCGGGGCCACCAGGCACUGCCACCCCUGUCCCUACUGCCACUGGGGCCACCAGGCACUGCCACCCCCAUCCUCACUGGCACCGGGGCCACUGGGCACUGCCACCCCCAUCCUCACUGGCACCGGGGCCACCGGACACUGCCACCCCCGUCCCCACUGGCACUGGGGCCACCAGGCACUGCCACCCCCUGUCACCCCUGCUGCCGGGGCCACUGAGCACUGCCACCCCCUGCCACCCCUGUCCUUACUGCAAUCAGGGCCACCAGCUACUGCCACUCUCAUCCCCACUGCCACCAGCCACCACCACCUGCUGCCACCCUCAUCCUCAUUGCCACUGGGGCCACUGGGCACUGCCACUCCUGUCCCCAUGGCCACUGGGGCCACCAGCUACUGCCACUCUCAUCCCCACUGCCACCAGCCACCACCACCUGCUGCCACCCUCAUCCUCAUUGCCACUGGGGCCCCUGGGCACCGCCACCCGCUGCCACCAGGCCGCCAGGGCCACGAGACGAUGCCAAUUGGGGCCACGGGGCGCUGCCACCCCGCUGCCACCAGGCCCCGCCACCUCCAUUGCCGCUGCCACCCUGUCCCCAGCGUCCCCCGGGCGCUGCCACCGCGCUGCCCACCUCGGGGUGGAUGCACAGGUUCUUCCUGGAGCUCAGCGCCAGCCCCAGGAACGGCACCUUCUCGCCCAGCUGCUUCUCGUAGAAAUCCAUGAGCUUCCGCAGCUCCUCGAUCACCUGCGGCGACGACAGCCAGGCCACCAGAUCCUCCCCCACCCCUGCCAGGGGAUCCCCUCCGGGAUCCGCUCGCCGCCCCCAGCCUCGCAACCCACCUUCUCGAUCUCCGGCACCGUGCGGGAGCAGUAGAUGAGCUUGGUGAGGUCCAACGGCCGAGCCUGG